RNAcentral lists this ribosomal RNA (392 nucleotides) under uncultured bacterium. RNAcentral's name for it is "partial 16S ribosomal RNA". It matches the Rfam family "Bacterial small subunit ribosomal RNA", at positions 523 to 918 of the family's 1533-position model. The record is from RNAcentral.
AUACGGAGGAUCCGAGCGUUAUCCGGAUUUAUUGGGUUUAAAGGGUGCGCAGGCGGCCAUUUAAGUCAGCGGUUAAAUCGUGGGGCUCAACCCCAUUCUGCCGUUGAUACUGGGUGGCUUGAUUGCGGUCGAGGUUGGCGGAAUUCGUUGUGUAGCGGGUAAAUGCAUAGAUAUGACGAAGAACACCGAUUGCGUAGGCAGCUGGCCAGACCGCAAAUGACGCUCAUGCACGAAAGUGCGGGGAUCGAACAGGAUUAGAUUCCCUGGUAGUCCGCACAGUAAACGAUGAAUACUUGUUUUCGGCGAUAUAAUGUCGGAGGCAAAGCGAAAGCGAUAAGUAUUCCACCUGGGGAGUACGCCGGCAACGGUGAAACUCAAAGGAAUCGACGGGG